RNAcentral lists this ribosomal RNA (748 nucleotides) under Gaeumannomycella caricis. Its description in RNAcentral is "eukaryotic LSU rRNA". It matches the Rfam family "Eukaryotic large subunit ribosomal RNA", at positions 76 to 854 of the family's 3401-position model. The record is from RNAcentral. Lineage: Eukaryota; Fungi; Ascomycota; Sordariomycetes; Magnaporthales; Magnaporthaceae.
UGCCCUAGUAACGGCGAGUGAAGCGGCAACAGCUCAAAUUUGAAAUCUGGCCCUAGGCCCGAGUUGUAAUUUGCAGAGGAUGCUUUUGGUGAGGUGCUUACCGAGUCCCCUGGAAUGGGGCGCCACAGAGGGUGAGAGCCCCGUAUGGUUUGCCACCGAGCCUUUGUAAAGCUCCUUCGACGAGUCGAGUAGUUUGGGAAUGCUGCUCUAAAUGGGAGGUAAAUUUCUUCUAAAGCUAAAUACCGGCCAGAGACCGAUAGCGCACAAGUAGAGUGAUCGAAAGAUGAAAAGCACUUUGAAAAGAGGGUUAAAUAGCACGUGAAAUUGUUGAAAGGGAAGCGCUCGUGACCAGACUUGCGCCUGGCGGAUCAUCCGGCGUUCUCGCCGGUGCACUCCGCCAGGCUCAGGCCAGCAUCGGUUUUCGCCGGGGGACAAAAGCUUCAGGAACGUGGCUCCUCUCGGGGAGUGUUAUAGCCUGUUGCAGAAUACCCCGGUGGGGACCGAGGACCGCGCUUCGGCAAGGAUGCUGGCGUAAUGGUCAUCAGCGACCCGUCUUGAAACACGGACCGAGGAGUCAAGCAUUAGUGCGAGUGUUUGGGUGUAAAACCCGCACGCGUAAUGAAAGUAAACGUAGGUGAGAGCUUCGGCGCAUCAUCGACCGAUCCUGAUGUUUUCGGAUGGAUUUGAGUAGGAGCAUUAACGCUUGGACCCGAAAGAUGGUGAACUAUACUUGAAUAGGGUGAAGCCA